AAGAGACGUUGCCCUUCGGGGUAUACCUCCCACCCUUUGUUUAUUAUACCUUUGUUGCUUUGGCAGGCCCGUCCUCGGACCACCGGCUUCUGCUGGUCAGUGCCCGCCAGAGGACCUAAAACUCUGUUUGUUAAUAUUGUCUGAGUACUAUAUAAUAGUUA
Molecule: unclassified non-coding RNA, 161 nt
Filed under: soil metagenome
Description: partial internal transcribed spacer 1
Source: RNAcentral